UCUUAAAGGAAUUGACGGAAGAGCACCACAAGGCAUGGAGCUUGCGGCUUAAUUUGACUCAACACGGGAAAACUUACCCGGUCAGGACACUGUAAUGACAGACAGUUUGAGAGACCUUCCUCGAUUCGGUGAUUGGUGGUGCAUGGCCGCUCAUAGUUCGUGGAAUGAUUUGUCAGGAUAAAUCCGGUAACGGGCGGAACUCGCACCUGCUAAAAAGACGGCCGAACGCCAAUGUACGGCGCCGUUCGGCUGCUCCCGCGACCGUAAGAGCUUCUUAGAGGGACCAAUGUCACGGCUACCGAUUUCUCGCUUGCAAACGGCAGUUGGCCGACUCUCGACGCGACCGAGAGUUUUACCCGUGAAGUGUUUGAACCGUGACCGCGAGGUUAUGUAAAUUCAGCUUUCACGGACCGCUCCGGCUGUUCGCUCCGAGGCUUCGGGGCGGUUUCGAUGGCCAAAGACACGCGAAGAGGCGAGCAAAAGCGGGUCAGUGAUGCCCCUAGAUGUUCAGG
This 512-nucleotide ribosomal RNA is filed under the name uncultured metazoan. RNAcentral's name for it is "bacterial SSU rRNA". It matches the Rfam family "Eukaryotic small subunit ribosomal RNA", at positions 1142 to 1485 of the family's 1831-position model. Lineage: Eukaryota; Metazoa. The record is from RNAcentral.